Molecule: ribosomal RNA, 580 nt
Filed under: uncultured bacterium
Lineage: Bacteria
Description: partial 16S ribosomal RNA
Rfam family: Bacterial small subunit ribosomal RNA
Source: RNAcentral
UGGGGAAUUUUGGACAAUGGGGGAAACCCUGAUCCAGCCAUCCCGCGUGUGCGAUGAAGGCCUUCGGGUUGUAAAGCACUUUUGGCAGGAAAGAAGCGUCGCGGGUUAAUACCCCGCGAAACUGACGGUACCUGCAGAAUAAGCACCGGCUAACUACGUGCCAGCAGCCGCGGUAAUACGUAGGGUGCAAGCGUUAAUCGGAAUUACUGGGCGUAAAGCGUGCGCAGGCGGUUCGGAAAGAGAGAUGUGAAAUCCCAGAGCUUAACUUUGGAACUGCAUUUUUAACUACCGGGCUAGAGUGUGUCAGAGGGAGGUGGAAUUCCGCGUGUAGCAGUGAAAUGCGUAGAUAUGCGGAGGAACACCGAUGGCGAAGGCAGCCUCCUGGGAUAACACUGACGCUCAUGCACGAAAGCGUGGGGAGCAAACAGGAUUAGAUACCCUGGUAGUCCACGCCCUAAACGAUGUCAACUAGCUGUUGGGGCCUUCGGGCCUUGGUAGCGCAGCUAACGCGUGAAGUUGACCGCCUGGGGAGUACGGUCGCAAGAUUAAAACUUAAAGGGAAUUGACGGGGUCAUAGCUG